This 242-nucleotide ribosomal RNA is filed under the name uncultured bacterium. Its description in RNAcentral is "partial 16S ribosomal RNA". It matches the Rfam family "Bacterial small subunit ribosomal RNA", at positions 524 to 763 of the family's 1533-position model. The record is from RNAcentral.
UACGUAGGUGGCAAGCGUUGUCCGGAUUUACUGGGCGUAAAGCGUGCGUAGGUGGUGAGUUAAGUCUGUCGUGAAAGCCCCGGGCUCAACCUGGGAAUGGCGAUGGAUACUGGCUCGCUAGAGUGCGGUAGAGGAGAGUGGAAUUCCCGGUGUAGCAGUGAAAUGCGUAGAUAUUGGGAAGAACACCGGUGGCGAAGGCAGGUCUCUGGGCCACUACUGGACGCUGAGAAGCGAAAAGCAUG